ACCCAGCUGGCUCAGUCGGUAGAGCAUGAGACUCUGGGUCUCAGGGUUGUGAGUUCAAGCCACACAUUGGGUG
RNAcentral lists this transfer RNA (73 nucleotides) under Mustela putorius furo (domestic ferret). RNAcentral describes it as "tRNA-Gln (CTG) (tRNA-Gln-CTG-6-1)". It matches the Rfam family "tRNA". From Rfam's summary of the family: Transfer RNA (tRNA) molecules are approximately 80 nucleotides in length. Their secondary structure includes four short double-helical elements and three loops (D, anti-codon, and T loops). The record is from Rfam by way of RNAcentral. Lineage: Eukaryota; Metazoa; Chordata; Mammalia; Carnivora; Mustelidae.